RNAcentral lists this long non-coding RNA (1231 nucleotides) under Mus musculus (house mouse). Its description in RNAcentral is "RIKEN cDNA 4631405J19 gene (4631405J19Rik)". Lineage: Eukaryota; Metazoa; Chordata; Mammalia; Rodentia; Muridae. The record is from RNAcentral.
CGCAAGUGGGAGCCCUGCUCAGAUGAGCCAGCCUCCCCAGCUCUGAAGGCAGGCAGCCAGGCAGCCAGCCUCUGAGUUUCCUGUGGUGGCCUCCGAGCUGGUGACCUGUAUGGCAGACUGAGGACCUGGGAUGCAUCCAGCUGCCAGCUCGACUUCCUCUGGACUGCUCCCUACCCUGAGCCCCGCAGACUCGGAGCUCAAGUGGAUGACAUCUUGUGCUCCCAGAGGUACAGGAGGCCGGAAAUGAGAGCACAGGCAGCCAGGUCCCUGCAAGGAGCAGCUCAAGUAGAAUCGGGGAAGGUCCCCGAAUGGGAAAUGAAUCAUGAAAACCACGAAGACCUCCAGCAAGCAGACAUGCCUGGGUUCCAGUGAGCUGCCCAUUCUGCUGCCCUCCGAGUUCACAGGUGAGGGAGAGUCAGCUCCGAGAGGAUACUUGGGCAACUACAGGGAUGCGACGAAGCAGGAUCUGAACCCAGACCCCUUGAUCUCCAGCCCUCAGGCAGCUGUUUCUAUUUGUGGGACCCAUGAGGAACACAGGAGCCACUGAAGGAGGGGUUCAUCUGAAGGCGAGUGAGUCAGCCUGUGCUAGAAGACUGGGAUGGGGCUAGCCAAGUUCACCUGUAACUCCAGCACUUGGGAGGCGGAGGCAAGAGAAGCCCUGUGAAUCUGCGGCCAGUCUGGGCUACGUGGUGAGGCUUUCCCAGCUACACAUGGGAACUAACAACAGCGGCCAUCAUGGGUUAUUCUGAGGAGUAGUUGGCUCAUCACAAGGCACUGAACAUCAUCUAGCCAUAGUGGAUACAGCCAAGCCACAGAGGUGCCACAGUUCUAGAAAUGGUGGCUCUUGGAGGAGCUGGGUCAGGAUUUCAGCCUGGGCAUUCCGAUUCCAGAGGCUGCUGAUCUUCUGGACACCCACCACCACCGCGCCUCCCUGCGGCUCCCACUAGAACAAGGACAGCAGAGGAGACUGAAGGAGAGGAGACACUGGGGUCAAGGAUGCAGAUUUUCCAUCCAGCUCAAAAGAAGUGAGCCUGGGAUAACUGGCGUCCAUGGGAGGUGUUUGGUCCUUCACCAACUCUUAACGGACACAUUUUAAAUAUUGGAUAAUACAUUUUUAAAGCACAGCAGGUUCCCAUAACCCAGCAAGAGCAACUCCAGAGAGGCCCAAGGAAGUUCUGGAAUAAAAUCAUAGCUAACCUCCAUGUCUAUCGGUAGGGGAAUGGCUAAAUAA